CUCGUAGGCGGCCAACUAAGUCAGACGUGAAAUCCCCAGGCUCAACCUGGGAACUGCGUCUGAUACUGGAUGGCUUGAAUCCGGGAGAGGGAUGCAGAAUUCCAGGUGUAGCGGUGAAAUGCGUAGAUAUCUGGAGGAAUACCGGUGGCGAAGGCGGCAUCCUGGACCGGCAUUGACGCUGAGGAGCGAAAGCCAGGGGAGCGAAACG
This 208-nucleotide ribosomal RNA is filed under the name uncultured bacterium. RNAcentral describes it as "partial 16S ribosomal RNA". It matches the Rfam family "Bacterial small subunit ribosomal RNA", at positions 568 to 775 of the family's 1533-position model. The record is from RNAcentral.